AACUUUAUGAAUCCGUGCUGAGAUUUUGUCAGACACCAACCCAUUAUGGUUGAUCAGACUUUCAAGAUAUGUGAAGUU
Schistosoma margrebowiei is the source of this 78-nucleotide non-coding RNA. The record is from Rfam. NCBI's taxonomy places the organism in Eukaryota, Metazoa, Platyhelminthes, Trematoda, Strigeidida, Schistosomatidae.